This 30-nucleotide non-coding RNA is filed under the name Mus musculus (house mouse). The record is from RNAcentral. Lineage: Eukaryota; Metazoa; Chordata; Mammalia; Rodentia; Muridae.
UAUUUGGGUGCAAAGAGUCAUAUUUGAGCC